Molecule: ribosomal RNA, 429 nt
Filed under: Bacteroidota bacterium
Lineage: Bacteria; Pseudomonadati; Bacteroidota
Description: Bacteroidetes bacterium partial 16S ribosomal RNA
Rfam family: Bacterial small subunit ribosomal RNA
Source: RNAcentral
UAGGGAAUCUUCGGCAAUGGGGGGAACCCUGACCGAGCAACGCCGCGUGAGUGAAGAAGGUUUUCGGAUCGUAAAGCUCUGUUGUUAAGGAAGAACGAGUGUGAGAAUGGAAAGUUCAUACUGUGACGGUACUUAACCAGAAAGGGACGGCUAACUACGUGCCAGCAGCCGCGGUAAUACGUAGGUCCCGAGCGUUGUCCGGAUUUAUUGGGCGUAAAGCGAGCGCAGGCGGUUAGAUAAGUCUGAAGUUAAAGGCAGUGGCUCAACCAUUGUAGGCUUUGGAAACUGUUUAACUUGAGUGCAGAAGGGGAGAGUGGAAUUCCAUGGGUAGCGGUGAAAUGCGUAGAUAUAGGGAGGAAAACCGGUGGCGAAAGCGGCUCUCUGGUCUGUAACUGACGCUGAGGCUCGAAAGCGUGGGGAGCGAACAGG